Non-coding RNA from Paramuricea clavata, 1145 nucleotides. The record is from the annotation of a GenBank genome assembly. NCBI's taxonomy places the organism in Eukaryota, Metazoa, Cnidaria, Anthozoa, Malacalcyonacea, Plexauridae.
CCCCGCUACAAUUGCUGACAUAGUUAUGGAACAUGCAUGUGGAAGAAACUGCAAUUUCUACAGCACCACAUCCCCCACGGUGGUGGUUCAGAUAUGUCGACGAUAGCCAUUCCUGUCUGAAGAAAACCCAGGUGAACGAAUUUCAUAACCACCUCAAUUCUAUAAACCCAUAUUUACAAUUCACCAUCGAACUGGAAGAAAACCGACGCCUCCCAUUCCUGGAUACCGUGACUAUCCGCUCUAACGGCAAAGUAGAAGUGGAUAUAUACAGAAAACCAACUCACACAGACAAAUACCUGCACUACGACUCACACCAUCCCAUGCAACACAAACCGUCGGUCCUAAAUAUACUCUCCUCGACAGAGCUGAGAAAAUUCCCUCGUCCAACAAAGGAAAACGCAGAGAAAGAAAACAUGUAUUCAAAGUCUUGAGAGACAACGGUUACCCAUUUAUUUAAGUUUAUAAAGUCUUACGAUAUCAAGAGAAUUACGCCGUCAUACUGAUAACACCAAUGCUAAUUUGCACACCUCUGAUGUCAGUAACAACAGGGCAAACCCCGCAGAUUGUGUUGCUCCCAGUUUUGUAGUCUUACCGUAUGUCAAAGGCGUUGCAGAAAAGAUCUCCCGAGUAUUAAGGAGAGAAAAUAUCAAAGUGUGCUAUAAACCUACCAGUACCCUUUCCCACCAAUUCCCCAAACCCAAAGACAAGUUACCACACAAGCAGAGAAGCGGAGUCAUUUACAAGAUCUGUUGCUGCGAUUGUGACUUUGUGUAUUACGGCCAAACAGACAGAGCACUGAAAACUAGAAUAAGAGAACACGAACGAGCUGUUUCGCAAUUCGACCAAUAUUCAAAAGUCGCUAUAAGCAUGCCGAACAAUACGACCAUCGAAUUGACUUCAGCAAUGCCACCAUUGUCAACAAGACAAAGAACUAUCGCGAACGUUUGUUCUUAGAGGCUUGGUAUUCCCUCAAGGAUCAUAACGCAAGAAACCACCAUGUCGAGAUACCAGAUGUGUAUAAAAUACUUAUCUGCUAGUUAACUCUGAACCUUUAUAUAUUGUUCAGUUUUGAACCUAGUUAACUUUUUAACUGACGAAGACCUAAGUCACUGGUCGAAACGUCUUAACAUCUUUUUAAAUAAACG